GAGCACGUAGGCGGGGAGGUAAGUUGAAUGUGAAAGACCGGGGCUCAACCUCGGACCCGCAUCCAAAACUGCCUCUCUUGAGGAUGGACGGAGAAAGGAGAAUUCCAAGUGUAGCGGUGGAAUGCGUAGAUAUUUGGAAGAAUACCGGUGGCGAAGGCGCCUUUCUAGUUCACUCCUGACGCUGAGGUGCGAAAGCAAGGGUAGCGAACAGGAUUAGAUACCCUGGUAGUCCUUGCCGUAAACGAUGUACACUUGAUGUAACUGGUCUCAACCCCAGUUGUGUCGUAGCUAACGCGUUAAGUGUACCGCCUGAGGAGUACGCUCGCAAGGGUGAAACUCAAAAGAAUUGACGGGGGCCCGCACAAGCAGUGGAGCAUGUGGUUUAAUUCGAUGCAACGCGAAGGACCUUACCUGGACUUGACAUGUACCGGACAGCUACAGAAAUGUAGUUUCUCGUGAGAGUCGGUACACAGGUGCUGCAUGGCU
RNAcentral lists this ribosomal RNA (486 nucleotides) under uncultured Chlamydiales bacterium. Its description in RNAcentral is "bacterial SSU rRNA". It matches the Rfam family "Bacterial small subunit ribosomal RNA", at positions 565 to 1050 of the family's 1533-position model. Lineage: Bacteria; Pseudomonadati; Chlamydiota; Chlamydiia; Chlamydiales. The record is from RNAcentral.